CCUACGGGAGGCAGCAGUGAGGAAUAUUGGUCAAUGGGCGAGAGCCUGAACCAGCCAAGUCGCGUGAGGGAGUACUGCCCUAUGGGUUGUAAACCUCUUUUGUUGGGGAGCAAAAGCCGGACGUGUCCGGCUGUGAGAGUACCCGAAGAAAAAGCAUCGGCUAACUCCGUGCCAGCAGCCGCGGUAAUACGGAGGAUGCGAGCGUUAUCCGGAGUUAUUGGGUUUAAAGGGUGCGCAGGCGGAUUUUUAAGUCAGCGGUCAAAUCGGGGGGCUAAACCCCCUCCAGCCGUUGAAACUGGGGAGCUAGAGUGUGCGAGGGGUAUGCGGAAUGCGGGGGGGAGCGGUGAAAUGCAUAGA
RNAcentral lists this ribosomal RNA (357 nucleotides) under uncultured bacterium. Its description in RNAcentral is "partial 16S ribosomal RNA". It matches the Rfam family "Bacterial small subunit ribosomal RNA", at positions 338 to 694 of the family's 1533-position model. The record is from RNAcentral.